RNAcentral lists this long non-coding RNA (1978 nucleotides) under Gallus gallus (chicken). The record is from RNAcentral. Lineage: Eukaryota; Metazoa; Chordata; Aves; Galliformes; Phasianidae.
UAGGAAAAAAAAAUGUAGUUGAAUUGUCCGAAGCGGGGGAGCGGCGGCGUCCGGCAGCGCGAUGCCUCUUCCCCACGGGGCUCGCCCGGGGCCGCUCGCACCGCGCAGUCGGGGCUCGGUCCCGGGGAGCCGGGGCAGUGCGGGGACGGGGCGAGCAGAGCCCCGGCGGUGAGGUGGGGACGUGGGACGGCCUCCUCCUCACUUCUUCUAUCCCAAAGCUGCGUGGGCCGUCUGCGGAGCGCGUCGGGCCUCUGCCGGUUGUCGUUCUCAUCAGUUCCGCGCGUACCCUCGGCGUUCGCUUGUUUGUUCGGGGUGGGGGUUUUGGGAGCCCCGCGGUCGGGGACUUCGGCGGUGCCACAGUCCAAACGGUCCCGGCGGUGCCCCCCGGCCGCCCCUCUCCCCGCCCCGCCGCCCAGCUCCGUGGCUCAGGGCAGAACCCGCACACACCCCUCCCGUGCCCUCCGUUCGGCUGCGAACUUUCCGCCGGGGUGAGUUCUCCUUUAAGAAAAGGCACGGCUCCUUCUGCAUAUUGAACGCUGUUCGUCUGCAGCGCGCAGAUGACGCGGGGCCGGAGCGGGACGGCUGGGGCGUAAAUCACCGCUCUCUGCAAUGGCCCCAGCGGGGAACCCCGUGCCAUCGCCCCAUAUGCCGCUUUAAACACGCUUUCCAAGAAAGGGGAGAGAGGAGGCUGCGGGUGGGGAGGGGGACGCUCGGGUGUGCCCCCCCUCACCCCCCUUCCCCCCCUCCCCCCCCCGGCACCACGAGGCUUGGGAGAGCGGCACAGCCCUGUCCCGGUGCCCACGUCGAGGUGCGCAGAGGUGCGAAAGGGGAACUUCGGUGCCAAAGCGCCGCCCGGAGCAGGGGAUGCGAGGUCCCGGAGGAGAUUUCCCUCCGGAGUUUGCGUUGUGCAGAGCGACAAGGAAGCAUCUGGGGGCAGCGAGGCUGAUGUGUGUCCCGCGGAGGGGCCGCACCCCUGCCCGGGGCUGCUGGAGGGGGGAGAGAGAGAAGAAAAGCCCCGCAGGGAGCAGCAGCGUUUGGCUCUGAGAGUGGGGCGAAGUCUUGGAAAACCCCGGGGGGGGGGGGCCGAGCACCGCUUGCCCGAACCCCAGGGGGGAGCCCGCGGUCGGGGUGCCACUCCUCGGCCUUUGCCUUAGGAGUGACUGCCCCCAAAGUGAGGGACGUGAGGAGGGGCGAAGGAUGGAGAGCGGCCGCUCCCCGCCACCCACGCCACGAGGGGUCCCCAAAGGCUGAGCUGCCUAAAGCACAGCGCUGCCCCCCACCCCUACCCCACCAUUCAGUAUGAUUCUUCUUAUCUUUCUUUCCUCUCAUGUGAGUCUGCCAAAUGGCAACUGAGGAACUGGAGUCUGUCCCGUCCUCUCUGGAAAUUGGGUUCUUGGCGAUUAUUUUUUUUUUUUUCACUUUUACUUUUCUCUUCUCCCACUCCGACUCUUAAUGAUUCGCCCUCCUCUGUGUUUUGCUGUCGUUGGUUUUGUUUUCUCAUCUCAUUCACUCCGCUCAGCCUCUGCUGAAGACACCGAAUCGCCCUCGCCCUGCGCCUGCGGACAGACCUCGGUGGAGAGCGGCGGCAGAACCCAACCGCGCAAUUUCUACCUGCAAGGCAGCAGAGUGUACAGCCCCCCACUCCCACCCCGCAUCGAACGCAGCCAUAACUCAAUGCAAACUGCGGGGAGAGGCGUUUUCCACGUGGCAGCAGAUGAUGGAGGAGAUGUCCCACUCCUCUCCGCUGCUCGUACCGCGUGGGGUCGUUCCCUCCGGCUGCGGCGGUGCCGUCCUUCUCGCAGAGGUGCAGGAAACAGAUUCCCACCUUUGGUCUCCCACCGAAGCGAAUUGCUUUUUGGCUCAGCGCUCAUCCUAACCAACUUUCUCCCCCGUGUUUAUUUCACUGGUUGCGGCCGGCAAAGAAAAUCAAAUAAAAUAACGCUGAAACGUGAAAAAAAAAAAAAAAAAAAGAAAAAAA